AGAUAUUCUUAAAUCUUUCUAAAUCUGUAUUCUAAUUUCUAUUUUGUCAGAUGAUGUAUUUAAUUCAGGUCAUCCAUUAACAAAGAUACAAACUAUAUUAAGUAGGAUUAUUAAUAUAUUUUUUACAGCUCAACUAUUUUGCUUUAAAUAUCGCAAUUCCUUUUUUUUUUUAAUUUCCAAUUCACUAAUUAGCAAAAAAUUAUAAUAAUGACGCUCAUGCUGGUAAGUAUAAUACCUG
Molecule: non-coding RNA, 238 nt
Organism: Pelobates cultripes (western spadefoot toad)
Lineage: Eukaryota; Metazoa; Chordata; Amphibia; Anura; Pelobatidae
Source: the annotation of a GenBank genome assembly